Molecule: long non-coding RNA, 391 nt
Filed under: Mytilus galloprovincialis (Mediterranean mussel)
Lineage: Eukaryota; Metazoa; Mollusca; Bivalvia; Mytilida; Mytilidae
Source: RNAcentral
CUAGAAUAUCAAGAAACUCGCUAUUGAUUUCAUAGCGGCUUGACACGUUUAUAUACUAAGUUUUGAAUGUCCUAGCAAGUAACAAACAAAAGAAUGUAUGAUUUAUGAGUUAUCGACAACAUGUAUAAUACACAAAUAAAGUUGCAGACGUCGCUUGACCGUUGUCCGAACUUUUAAGAUGCUCUUUAAACUUUACUAGACAUUUAUAUAAUUUGGUAACUGCUGCAGUCUCAUUGUCCAGACAAAUUGAAUAGUUUAUAAAAAUGCUUGUUUGACAUAUUUGAAAUAUUCAACGCUUGAAAAAUGUAUAGAACAUUUAAACAAUAAUUCUAUGUAAAAUAGUUUACAAAGUAAAACCCGCAUACAUUAACUAAUAAACCAUAUGAAAUAA